GAUGAACGCUGGCGGCGUGCAUAACACAUGCAAGUCGAACGGUAAGGCCCUUUCGGGGGUACACGAGUGGCGAACGGGUGAGUAACACGCGGGUGAUCUGCCCUGCACUUUGGGAUAAGCUUGGGAAACUGGGUCUAAUACCGAAUAGGACUACGCUCCGCAUGGGGUGUGGUGGAAAGCUUUUGCGGUGUGGGAUGGGCCCGCGGCCUAUCAGCUUGUUGGUGGGGUGAUGGCCUACCAAGGCGACGCAGGGUAGCCGGCCUGGGAGGGUGGCGGGCCACAGGGGGCCUGAGAUGCGGCCCCGACACCUACGGGAGGCAGCAGUGGGCAAUAUUGGACAAUGGGCGGAAGCCUGAUGCAGCGACGCCGCGUGGGGGAUGGCGGCCUUCUGGUUGUAAACCUCUUGCAGCACAGAGGAAGCGCAAGUGACGGUAUGUGCAGAAGAAGUACCGGCCAACUACGUGCCAGCCGCCGCAGUAA
Molecule: ribosomal RNA, 480 nt
Filed under: uncultured bacterium
Lineage: Bacteria
Description: partial 16S ribosomal RNA
Rfam family: Bacterial small subunit ribosomal RNA
Source: RNAcentral